GACGAACGCUGGCGGCGUGCCUAAUACAUGCAAGUAGAACGCUGAAGGAGGAGCUUGCUUCUCUGGAUGAGUUGCGAACGGGUGAGUAACGUGUAGGUAACCUGCCUGGUAGCGGGGGAUAACUAUUGGAAACGAUAGCUAAUACCGCAUAAGAGUAGAUGUUGCAUGACAUUUGCUUAAAAGGUGCAAUUGCAUCACUACCAGAUGGACCUGCGUUGUAUUAGCUAGUUGGUGGGGUAACGGCUCACCAAGGCGACGAUACAUAGCCGACCUGAGAGGGUGAUCGGCCACACUGGGACUGAGACACGGCCCAGACUCCUACGGGAGGCAGCAGUAGGGAAUCUUCGGCAAUGGACGGAAGUCUGACCGAGCAACGCCGCGUGAGUGAAGAAGGUUUUCGGAUCGUAAAGCUCUGUUGUAAGAGAAGAACGAGUGUGAGAGUGGAAAGUUCACACUGUGACGGUAUCUUACCAGAAAGGGACGGCUAACUACGUG
This 495-nucleotide ribosomal RNA is filed under the name uncultured bacterium. RNAcentral's name for it is "partial 16S ribosomal RNA". It matches the Rfam family "Bacterial small subunit ribosomal RNA", at positions 28 to 507 of the family's 1533-position model. The record is from RNAcentral.